GUGCCAGCAGCCGCGGUAAUACGUAGGGGGCUAGCGUUAUCCGGAAUUACUGGGCGUAAAGGGUGCGUAGGUGGUUUCUUAAGUCAGAGGUGAAAGGCUACGGCUCAACCGUAGUAAGCCUUUGAAACUGGGAAACUUGAGUGCAGGAGAGGAGAGUGGAAUUCCUAGUGUAGCGGUGAAAUGCGUAGAUAUUAGGAGGAACACCAGUGGCGAAAGGCGCUUACUGGACUGGAACUGGACGUGAGGCUCGAAAGCGUGGGGAGCGACCCGGAAAGGGUCCCCUGGUAGUCC
Molecule: ribosomal RNA, 291 nt
Filed under: uncultured microorganism
Description: partial 16S ribosomal RNA
Rfam family: Bacterial small subunit ribosomal RNA
Source: RNAcentral